AAAAUAUAUAACAAUCAUAAGGAAAUAUUAUAACAUGCCUGCAGGUAGGACGGAUGACUGAGAACUUAUUUGGCCUGACUUACUGUAGUGAGACUUUUACCUUAUUUAGAAAAGUUUUAUAUACAAUUAUACUCUUUUCUGUGAUUAUAUAUUGUUAGAUGUGACUCGAAGUUGAUAAUCGACUCAUGUUCGGGUUUUCGACUCGCCGAUAGUUUCGCGGUGCUAUCAAAAUUGGAAAAAUAAAAUUGUCAAGGAAAAAUGAAUGUAUGUGGUGGGUAGCGGAGGGCUCGGGCGUUAUGAGUUUUCUUUUCGUUUUUGCCCUAGAGGCGUGAGAUCGUGGUUGGUUGUAAUCAUCUGAACAUUGUAUUCCUUUUUCGGUCGAUAGUGAAGUUUUUUCUUUCCUCGCCCGUGAUUUUUUUCUGCAAAAAAAUUUUCACGUAAAUCUGUAUGUUCUUUUUAUUUUUCGCUUGUAAUUUGAUUGUUUUAUAUUUGUCAUUUUAUUUCCGUUUAUGCGUUUGUCGUAAUAUAUAUCAUACUACAU
This 541-nucleotide long non-coding RNA is filed under the name Ananas comosus (pineapple). RNAcentral's name for it is "long non-coding RNA (ACOM_LNC014607)". The record is from RNAcentral. Lineage: Eukaryota; Viridiplantae; Streptophyta; Magnoliopsida; Poales; Bromeliaceae.